CUCCUUGCCAACCAGCAGCUCCCUUGGUAGGGGCAUGCAGAAGACCUGAUGACACAAACCCUCCAAAGAGUUUCACCCUCACCACAACAGGUGGCUUCCUGCUCGGCAGCCCAUCCUGCAUCACUUCAGUGGACUUCUCUGACAUCUACUAGACCACAUUAAAUGAAUCACAGCCUUGAAACUGAACUGGAAGGACUUCCUUCAAGGAGCCAGCAUAUGAACUUGCUGCCUAUCUUUAGCAAGGAGAUGCAAAUGACAUCCACAAACCUCUUCUGCUGUAUACCUGGAUGAAAGCAAGGCUAGCUGUGUGUCCUGUGAGUAAGAAGGAAAGAUGCUUACCUUAGAUCCACCCAUAAUCUUCCCCUACUCCUACACCUCCAGUUGAGAAAGCUGUACUCAUUCUGAACAUCAGCUCAUCCUAGGGGAAUCACAGCUUUCUCCACAGAUACAGAACAAGGUGAAGAGCCCUAGGCUGUUCUAUUCCCUGGACCAAAGAUGAAACUGGGGUGAGGUACCUCUGGGUCACUGUUAAGAAGUAAAAUGUAGAGGCUCUUCAUUGCAGUAGUAUCUUAAGAAUUCCAAAAUCAGGCUACCACCUCUAAACCAGGCAAGAGGACAAUGAGACAAAGUGAUAAGCCUGAAGGGUUAGGAACCAUGAGGAGCUUAUGUCAGGGAGAUUCUGAGAGAAGGAAGGGAGGAGAGACCCAAAGAAACUUCAUGGAGCUAAUGAACAAGCACCCACAGAGGAUUUAUAUACAAUAUCUGCAACCAAGAGAGGGGUAUGCUAAUUUAGAGGAAACCAGAAGGUAGCCAACACCUUCAUUUCACAGCUGGCAGAAGGAAGAAAAAAA
RNAcentral lists this long non-coding RNA (851 nucleotides) under Homo sapiens (human). RNAcentral's name for it is "long intergenic non-protein coding RNA 1065". Lineage: Eukaryota; Metazoa; Chordata; Mammalia; Primates; Hominidae. The record is from RNAcentral.